RNAcentral lists this unclassified non-coding RNA (357 nucleotides) under uncultured Myxotrichaceae. RNAcentral's name for it is "sequence contains ITS2". The stretch from base 1 to 154 matches the Rfam family "5.8S ribosomal RNA". The record is from RNAcentral. Lineage: Eukaryota; Fungi; Ascomycota; Leotiomycetes; Myxotrichaceae.
AACUUUUAGCAACGGAUCACUUGGUUCUGGCAUCGAUGAAGAACGCAGCGAAAUGCGAUAAGUAAUGCGAAUUGCAGAAUUCAGUGAGUCAUCGAAUCUUUGAACGCAUAUUGCGCCCUGUGGUAUUCCGCAGGGCAUGCCUGUUCGAGCGUCAUUUCAACCCUCAAGCUCUGCUUGGUGUUGGGCCCCGCCCGCUCGCGGCCGGCCCUAAAGACAGUGGCGGCGGCGUCUGGCUCCAAGCGUAGUACAGCUCUCGCUCUGGGGCUAGGCGGUAGCCUGCCAGAACCCCCUUCUAUGGUUGACCUCGGAUCAGGUAGGGAUACCCGCUGAACUUAAGCAUAUCAAUAAGCGGAGGCU